AGGGUAUUAGUUAAAUUAUAACAAUUAUUUUGCAUUUAAUUAUUAAAAAAUCAAUUUUUUUAUACCUUA
RNAcentral lists this transfer RNA (69 nucleotides) under Ancistrocerus parietum. RNAcentral describes it as "tRNA-Ala". The record is from RNAcentral. Lineage: Eukaryota; Metazoa; Arthropoda; Insecta; Hymenoptera; Vespidae.